GAUCAUGGCUCAGAGUGAACGCUGGCGGUAGGCCUAACACAUGCAAGUCGAACGGCAGCACAGUAAGAGCUUGCUCUUAUGGGUGGCGAGUGGCGGACGGGUGAGGAAUACAUCGGAAUCUACCUUUUCGGUGGGGGAUAACGUAGGGAAACUUACGCUAAUACCGCAUACGACCUGGUGAAGACGAGGGACCGUCGGUCCGUCGCGCGGAGUAGAUGAGCCGAUGUCGGUAGUUAGUCUAGUUGGGUACGGGGG
This 255-nucleotide ribosomal RNA is filed under the name uncultured bacterium. RNAcentral's name for it is "partial 16S ribosomal RNA". It matches the Rfam family "Bacterial small subunit ribosomal RNA", at positions 15 to 266 of the family's 1533-position model. The record is from RNAcentral.